AGUGAACGCUGGCGGUAGGCCUAACACAUGCAAGUCGAACGGCAGCACAGUAAGAGCUUGCUCUUACGGGUGGCGAGUGGCGGACGGGUGAGGAAUACAUCGGAAUCUACUUUUUCGUGGGGGAUAACGUAGGGAAACUUACGCUAAUACCGCAUACGACCUACGGGUGAAAGCAGGGGAUCUUCGGACCUUGCGCGAUUGAAUGAGCCGAUGUCGGAUUAGCUAGUUGGCGGGGUAAAGGCCCACCAAGGCGACGAUCCGUAGCUGGUCUGAGAGGAUGAUCGCCCACCCUGGACCUGAGCACCGGCCCAGCCCCUUACGGGAGGCAGAGGUGGGGAAUUUUGGACAAUGGGCGAAAGCUUGACCCAGCCAUCCCGCGUGGGUGAAGAAGGCCUUCGGGUUGUAAAGCCCUUUUGUUGGGAAAGAAAAGCAGCAGGUUAAAACCCCGUUGUCCUGCCGGUACCAAAAGAAUAGGCCCCGCCUACUUUCGU
RNAcentral lists this ribosomal RNA (491 nucleotides) under uncultured bacterium. Its description in RNAcentral is "partial 16S ribosomal RNA". It matches the Rfam family "Bacterial small subunit ribosomal RNA", at positions 29 to 506 of the family's 1533-position model. The record is from RNAcentral.